UUUUUAGUGGCGGACGGGUUAGUAACACGUGAGCAACCUACCUCGAAGCGGGGAUAGCCUUCCGAAAGGAAGAUUAAUACCGCAUAUGACCUACGGGUUAAAGACGCCUUCGGGUGUCACUUCGAGAUGGGCUCGCGGCCUAUCAGCUAGUUGGUGAGGUAACGGCUCACCAAGGCAACGACGGGUAGCUGGUCUGAGAGGACGAUCAGCAACACUGGAACUGAGACACGGUCCAG
Molecule: ribosomal RNA, 236 nt
Filed under: uncultured bacterium
Lineage: Bacteria
Description: partial 16S ribosomal RNA
Rfam family: Bacterial small subunit ribosomal RNA
Source: RNAcentral